This 501-nucleotide ribosomal RNA is filed under the name uncultured crenarchaeote. RNAcentral describes it as "bacterial SSU rRNA". It matches the Rfam family "Archaeal small subunit ribosomal RNA", at positions 327 to 830 of the family's 1478-position model. Lineage: Archaea; Thermoproteati; Thermoproteota. The record is from RNAcentral.
GGGGUGCAGCAGGCGCGAAACCUUAGCAAUGUGCGAAAGCACGACUGGGUCAGUCCGAGUGAUUCCUGAUAAAGGAGUCUUUUGCCUGUCCUAAAAGCACAGGUGAAUAAGGGGUGGGCAAGUCUGGUGUCAGCCGCCGCGGUAAUACCAGCACCUCGAGUGGUCAGGACGUUUAUUGGGCCUAAAGCAUCCGUAGCCGGCUCUGCAAGUCUUCGGUUAAAUCCACCUGCUCAACAGAUGGGCCGCUGGAGAUACUACAGAGCUAGGGAGUGGGAGAGGCAGACGGUAUUCAGUGGGUAGGGGUAAAAUCCUCUGAUCCAUUGAGGACCACCAGUGGCGAAGGCGGUCUGCCAGAACACGUUCGACGGUGAGGGAUGAAAGCUGGGGGAGCAAACCGGAUUAGAUACCCGGGUAGUCCCAGCUGUAAACGAUGCAAACUCGGUGAUGCAUUGGCUUAUGGCCAAUGCAGUGCCGCAGGGAAGCCGUUAAGUUUGCCGCCUG